Megalobrama amblycephala (Wuchang bream) is the source of this 2682-nucleotide long non-coding RNA. RefSeq lists it as uncharacterized. The transcript is spliced from 8 exons. The record is from RefSeq and is a predicted model, not a curated record. Lineage: Eukaryota; Metazoa; Chordata; Actinopteri; Cypriniformes; Xenocyprididae.
UACAGACUGGACGGAGACGAUCAUAAAUAAUGCUCGUGUUUGCAGUGCACACUUCAUAUCAGUGAUGGAUGAUGAUGAAGAGCUGGAGAGGGCGAUGUUGAACAUCACCCUCUAAGCUACAAGUGCAGAGCUUUGCUGUGCCAGCAGCAGUAGCAGUUGCUGCCAUACCCAGAGUGUCACCAGGUUUUUGAAUAAGAGGUUUCAGGACUGGAGUAUAAUGACCUGGAAAACUGAACCUUGACUUAAACUGUUAAAUUGUUUAUGUUCCGGUCAUGUUCCUCCAACAAUAUGGUUGUAUUCUGGCAUUAUACUAACAGUCCUAAGGGACUAUGAAUUCCUGCCAUGAUGAACUGAUUUCAACCACAAUGAGGUUCCAUCUGCGGCACUAUCCAAACCAACUGCUGAAUUGCAGGCAUCACCAGUUGACGCUCCAGCCUCUCCAGGUCUGAAGAGGAAAACACCUGUGCCCCUUCCAGCAGAGCUAACAUUAUUAGUGAAGGAGACAACAGCAGAGAGGCCUGAGUCAACUCUAGAACUCCGCACAAGUGCUGCUGGCAUCUCCGCACGCAAAGUGCAUGCGUUUGAGGACAGUGGUGAAAAAGUCAGGUGGCUGUCAUGUGACUAAUUGAUUGCUGGCAAUAUUUAUUUUGUUCACACCCUGAUGAAUGCUCAUUAGACGUAAGUUGUUGUGUGUGGUUAUUUAAACCAUGAUUGAAUAAAGGCUUUUUAUAUAAUUUUCCUUAAAUUUUCAAUUGCCCAAAGAGCACCAAGAUAUGGAUUUUACAGCCCUCACAGCACUUUUUGCAUUAUUUGUUUUAUAAAAAAAAUUCUGUUUCUUUCUAAAUCUAAAUCUACAUUGUUCUACAUCUUUGAGUCUUGCAUUUAGGGAUUGCUAUGCUCCAUUUAAGAUCCCAGACUGCAUCCCUGGUGAACAUCUAAACUGGGAAGACUACCCCUUCCAUUGUUGCUGGGGCCAUCUCUGGACCGCUGGAGAACACCUGUGCCUCUCAGUUACAUUUCAACAACAACAUUGUGGUGAAGCUCGACUUGUUCCAUUGCCUGAGCCGUUUUUAACGGGCGUGCACCUCUAAGCAUCACCCUCUGUUCAGCACUUUCUGCCAGCUCCUCUCCGCAGCCUUCUUCUUGGUGGAUCAGGAGGACCUAAGUAGGCUCCAUGAAGCCUAUCGGUUCUGUGGUAUCAAUUAAUCCAGCCAAUCCCACCAAACAGCACAUACGAGAGCACUGCAGGACCAAAAUACCACAACCCACAGAGCUGCUGGACAGAGUGGAGAAAGUCCUGAAGCAUUUUCACCUGUCCAUGGACCCCAACAAUGUCCCACUCUUCAAGCCAUCUAUGCUGAAGACGUGGCGCAUACAGAGAGUGCACAUUCUCCGCGGUUGCCUCAGUGACCCUGAACUCUGAGAGGGCAUAAGGUACCGGUAUGGUGGAACUCUUCAUCUAAAUCACGUACCUGGUGAAGGCGCCAAAGUCCCCAUUUGGAUCCCUGUCAGAGGUACAUCACAGCAGGAAGGGUACCACUUCCACCAGGCCCAGUAGAUCACAAGGACUCAUGUCUCCACUGAAUUGUUCCAGGCCCAAGGCAUGACAGGGGUGGCACGAUGGAACCACCAACGGCUGCUGGACCUUAAGCAGCCAGGUGUCAUCCUCCAUACUGUGUUUGAUCCAGUUCUAAUGGUUGAGUUAAAUUCUGCCUCCAAGAGAGUGACUGAGCAGGAGAAGUACCCUAUGCUUCAUCUCCCUGAUAGAGACACCGGAGAGAGGUUUGGCCUAGAGUAUGCAGAGCCAGGCUGCCAUCCAGUCCCUCUGGAUUGGGACAAACAUCGAACCCAAAAGAGAGAUGAAGCAGCUGCUGUUGUGCCUCUACCUCCUGUGCAGACACCCGCUACUGCCCAAGCUCAACCUCCAGGCGCAGCACCCUCCUUCAGUCAGACACCACUCUCUAGCACAGCAUUUGCAAAGACAGAAUUCUUCCAGAGAGAGCUGGAGGCCACCAAGAAAGGAGAAGAUGCAGAAAACACACAUCCAUACACACAUCCACAUCCAUCCGGGCUUCCCUGGAGUGGCAGGGAAAUACAUUUACUGCCCAUCUAAAGUGUACUCUCUAUACCGAGAUAAGGGCAUGGCCAAGGAGAUGAACUGGAAUGAGUUUCAGAAGUCUCCUUACUAUGAGGCAGAGAGGCAGAGAUGGGUGGAAGAAAGGAAGAAAUGAUUAACAUGUGUAUAUACUUCAAAAGGAUCUGCUCCUCGCUCAGCAUUCCUGCUGUCACCCAGGCCAGCAUCAGGCAGAUGCCCCCUUUUGGGUCAAGUUUAUUUAGGCUUUUUUUAAAGUAUAAUCGGUCCUUCUUGAUAGGUGUUUACUUAUCGUUUUUUUUUUUUAUUUAGGCAUUGUAUUUAGGCUUUGAAUGUUGGCCUUAAAUGUUCCAUAUUAAUUAACACUCUUUAAUUAUAGUUCUCACAUUUGUGUAAAUCCUGAGACAUGUAAAAACAUCUAAAUAUUUGUAUAGAGGGGCCAGGUUUUAAUUUUAUUAUUCAGUGUGAGAUUGCUAAAGGUAUAUAUUGUCAGAGUUGUCUAUAUCUUCCUCUCUAUAUUGUUAUUUUGUAUUGAUAUUUACUAUUCUUAAAAAGUGAUAAAAGCAUUUAAUAAAAACAAUUAAAAAUCA